RNAcentral lists this ribosomal RNA (370 nucleotides) under uncultured organism. Its description in RNAcentral is "bacterial SSU rRNA". It matches the Rfam family "Bacterial small subunit ribosomal RNA", at positions 526 to 896 of the family's 1533-position model. The record is from RNAcentral.
CGUAGGGUGCAAGCGUUAAUCGGAAUUACUGGGCGUAAAGCGUGCGCAGGCGGUUAUGUAAGACAGAGGUGAAAUCCCCGGGCUCAACCUGGGAACUGCCUUUGUGACUGCAUAGCUAGAGUACGGCAGAGGGGGAUGGAAUUCCGCGUGUAGCAGUGAAAUGCGUAGAUAUGCGGAGGAACACCGAUGGCGAAGGCAAUCCCCUGGGCCUGUACUGACGCUCAUGCACGAAAGCGUGGGGAGCAAACAGGAUUAGAUACCCUGGUAGUCCACGCCCUAAACGAUGUCAACUGGUUGUUGGGUCUUCACUGACUCAGUAACGAAGCUAACGCGUGGAGUUGACCGCCUGGGGAGUACGGCCGCAAGGUUG